AUUGAACGCUGGUGGCACGCUUUACACAUGCAAGUCGAACGGUAACAGGGUGCUUGCACCGCUGACGAGUGACGAACGGGUGAGUAAUGCGUCGGAACGUGCCGAGUAGUGGGGGAUAACGCAGCGAAAGUUGUGCUAAUACCGCAUACGUACUGAGGUAGAAAGUGGGGGACCUUCGGGCCUCACGCUAUUCGAGCGGCCGACGUCUGAUUAGCUAGUAGGUGAGGUAAAGGCUCACCUAGGCGGCGAUCAGUAGCGGGUCUGAGAGGAUGAUCCGCCACACUGGGACGGAGAUACGGCCCAGACUCCUACGGGAGGCAGCAGUGGGGAAUUUUGGACAAUGGGCGAAAGCCUGAUCCAGCCAUGCCGCGUGUCUGAAGAAGGCCUUCGGGUUGUAAAGGACUUUUGUCAGGGAGGAAAUCCCUAGUGCUAAUAACACUGGGGGAUGACAGUACCUGAAGAAUAAGCACCGGCUAACUACGUGCCAGCAGCCGCAGUAA
Molecule: ribosomal RNA, 500 nt
Filed under: uncultured bacterium
Lineage: Bacteria
Description: partial 16S ribosomal RNA
Rfam family: Bacterial small subunit ribosomal RNA
Source: RNAcentral